GCCCCAGUGGCACAACAGUUAAGCACUCGGCUGCUAACUGAAAGUUUGGUGGUUCGAGCCCACUCAGUGGCU
This 72-nucleotide transfer RNA is filed under the name Loxodonta africana (African savanna elephant). It matches the Rfam family "tRNA". From Rfam's summary of the family: Transfer RNA (tRNA) molecules are approximately 80 nucleotides in length. Their secondary structure includes four short double-helical elements and three loops (D, anti-codon, and T loops). Lineage: Eukaryota; Metazoa; Chordata; Mammalia; Proboscidea; Elephantidae. The record is from Rfam by way of RNAcentral.